This 274-nucleotide ribosomal RNA is filed under the name uncultured bacterium. RNAcentral's name for it is "partial 16S ribosomal RNA". It matches the Rfam family "Bacterial small subunit ribosomal RNA", at positions 523 to 796 of the family's 1533-position model. The record is from RNAcentral.
AUACGGAGGGUGCGAGCGUUAAUCGGAAUUACUGGGCGUAAAGCGUACGUAGGCGGUUGGUUAAGUUAGAUGUGAAAGCCCCGGGCUUAACCUGGGAACUGCAUUUAAAACUGGCGAACUAGAGUUGAGUAGAGGGGAGUGGAAUUUCAGGUGUAGCGGUGAAAUGCGUAGAGAUCUGAAGGAACACCAGUGGCGAAGGCGACUCCCUGGACUCGAACUGACGCUGAGGUACGAAAGCGUGGGGAGCAAACGGGAUUAGAAACCCUAGUAGUCC